Molecule: ribosomal RNA, 367 nt
Filed under: uncultured eukaryote
Lineage: Eukaryota
Description: bacterial SSU rRNA
Rfam family: Eukaryotic small subunit ribosomal RNA
Source: RNAcentral
UGCCCUUAGAUGUUCGAGGCUGCACGCGGGCUACAAUGGCUGCAACAAUGAGAGCAAGCGGAGCCGAGAGGCCGAGCGAACCUCUAAAAGCAGUCGUAGCUGGGACCGUGGUUUGCUAUUAGCCCACGUGAACGAGGAAUUCCUAGUAAAGGCACGUCAUCAACAUGCCUUGAUUACGUCCCUGCCCUUUGUACACACCGCCCGUCGCUACUACCGAUUGUGUUGGUCGUUGAGGUCAUUGGACCUGCGCUCUAGUGCUGUGCCUUUCGGGGCCGGCAUAUGGGUGCGGGGAAGGUGAUCGAAGCGGCAAACAUAGAGGAAGUAAAAGUCGUAACAAGGUUGUCGUAGGUGAACCUGCAGAAGAUCA